UGAUAAGAGCGAGACUCUCUCAAAAAAAAAAAAAAAAGUUAAAAUGGCAAAUUUUGUUAUAUAUACCUUGCCAUAAUUUUUAAGACUUUAAAGAAAUUAAUUCAAAAGGAGUUAAGAUUCAAACAUAAAAGCUAAAAUUACAAACUUCUAGAAGAAAACAUUGGAGAAAAUCUUCAUGAUCUUGGGAUGGGCACAGAUUUCUUGGACAGAAUGAGUGAGUACUAACUAUAAAAACUCACAAAGAACAUCAAAAUUAAGACCUUCUGCUCUCUGAAAGACAUCCUUCCAAAAAGGAAAAGACAAGCUGGAGAAAAAUAAGUCACAAUAUAUAUAGUGAUGCAUCACUUAACAACAGAGAUACCUUCUGAGAAAUGCAUUGUUAGGCGAUUUCAUCAUUAUGUGAACAUCAUGGAGUAUACCUGCAUAAACCUAGAUGGUAUAGCCUACCACACACAUAGGCUAUAUGGUAUUGUAUAGCCUAUAGACUGCUUCCAGGCCGCAAACCUGUAUAGCAUGUUACUGCAUUGAAUACUGUAAGCAACUGUAACACAAUGUUUUGGAAGUCUUCCACCAAAUGUCCAAAGAAUUAACCUGUGAGUCACAUCAGAGAAGUACACCUCACGUGGACCAUCCAUGUACAUCAGUGCUUGGUUCCCACAGAGGCACGGAAGCGCAUCCGUGGAAAUCCAUCCCUUCCGACUUCCUUACACCUAUACAAAAGCCUGCAUUUGAUGCCCAGGACUCCAGAUCAGUACAUUCUGUGACAACUAAGGCACAGUGGAACAAGAAGGGCCCAACCACAUAAAGCUCCAGGAGAGUAGGAAUUAGUCUUGCUCUCAAGGACAUUCCUGGCACCCAGCAGAAUACCUAGCCUAGUAGGCAACAAAUGAAUACUGGAUGAAUAAAUCUAUGAAUCCAUCAAGAAGCAAGCUUGAGAAUGAGGCCAAAACACAGAGGAAGGCAAAAGAGCAAUGAAGCUGAGCAAAUACACCAGACUACCCAACUCUGAAACCCAUCCAACCUCUGGACUUCAUUGUUGUGAGUCAAUACAUUUACCUAACAUUUAAACCACUCAGAGUCAAAAUUUCUGUUACUUGUAGUUCAGAGUACCCUAACCUAUACAUCUAGCCUGGCCAUACACCUACUUGUCUGUCCUUGAGGAAGCUACUGAGCUUCACGUAUCUGUAAAAAUGGCCAAUAAGAAAGUCCUCCACAUCGUCCACUGCUAUCACCCCUCCAAUCUGUUAUUAUUUCUUGCUUUUUUUGACCACAACAGUCUCAUAAUUGGUCUUUUUGCUGCAGCCCUUGCCUCCACUGUCUACUCUCAAUAUACCAGUGGAGUACAGAAAUGAAAUGAAAUUUGGCUGUGGUUAUAUGACUAGAACAUGGCAGAACUGUAAUUUGAACAAAAUAGACAAGGUCUUUGCUGUCACGGAACUUCUAAAUGCCCUAUUUACUAUUCUGCUACCUCCCCAAGAAACUCUGCGGAAAAACCUGGAGGUAUCAAAGUAGGCUGUGUCUUAGCUGAUCUUCUGGAAAAGUUUUAGGAAAUCUAUUUCACCAGAAAGCAAUUAGCGAAGCCAAAUAUUUAUUUGGAUUUUCACCUUCAAAUCUGAGGUUACCCAGUAGAUUACCUGUACCACCAGGCACACUUUACCUUUGUGUGUUUAUUUAUAUAAAUCUAUUAAUAAAACUUACCUUUAAAUCUUUAUAUUAUAAUGUAACUAUUUAAAACAAAUAAUCUAAACUGCUGCUUUUCAAGCGUUAGCUCUGUUUUGGAAUGUUCCAAAGCAAUCUUCUGGAGAAUGAACCUUAAAGUUUAUUUUUUAAAAAUAGGCAAAAUA
RNAcentral lists this long non-coding RNA (1844 nucleotides) under Homo sapiens (human). RNAcentral describes it as "HSALNT0291933". The record is from RNAcentral. Lineage: Eukaryota; Metazoa; Chordata; Mammalia; Primates; Hominidae.